Long non-coding RNA from Paramisgurnus dabryanus, 1190 nucleotides. RefSeq lists it as uncharacterized. The record is from RefSeq and is a predicted model, not a curated record. NCBI's taxonomy places the organism in Eukaryota, Metazoa, Chordata, Actinopteri, Cypriniformes, Cobitidae.
CAUAUUUAUUAGGGCUUUUUUGUAUUUGAUACAAUAUUUGAUUUGAUGUACAUUAAAUAUUAAAUGAAUGAGAAUAAGAACAGCCAUACCAUCUAUUUUCUUUCUGUUGUGGUUUUCAGUGGUUGAUGAUUUCCUUUGUCAGAGUGCAAGUUUAACACAUCACACGUAGACCAUAGAUGCUUUUAUUGUUUUAGUCACAAAUAGUUUAGCAGGAUAAGAAGACAGUCUAACUCACAAUGCCUGGAUUUUGUUAUUAUUAUGUUUGGCUGUUUCUGUUUGACAUUUUUAUGAGAGAAACCCUUGGUGUCACAGUGCAGACGGGCUUAUACAGUCGAGUUGAGCUGACAGGAGAAAACCUGGAUCAUCAUACUGAUCUGCUGUGGGUGGAAUGGGAACACCUAAACAAAUCCUGUCUUUGUCUUCGGUUUGUUAAAGAGAAUAGUAACACCACAAACUACAGACCAUGCUGUGGAAAAGCUCAUUACUAUUUGAACAAUAACACUCUCAUUUUAGAGAAUGUGACAGCACAGGUUGAAGGAUUCUUUAUGGAAAAAAACUCUAUUUUAUAGUGGAAUUACAAAACAAUUUAACAUUACAUUAUAUAUUGUAUAUCCACCAAAUGCAACAGGAAUUGCGGUCACCUGUACCACCAACACAUCAGUGUCUCUCACAUGUGAAGUGACCGGGACAUUUACACACAUAAUGUGGAAGAAAAAAGAUUCUCCCAUUCUAGAAGACAACAGACACUCAUUGAGCGAAAACAACCAGACUCUAAACAUCACCAAUAUGACCAGUUCAGAUGAUGGAAAAUACAGUUGUGUGGCGACAAAUGCAUAUGGAAAAUCAGAAACGCACACAAAUGUUAUCUGUGAGAAACGCUUCAUGCAUCGUGAAAACCCAACUUCAAACUUCGAACUGAUCCGAGUUUGCUUACAGCAUGUAGAUUCACAAUCAUAAGCAUUUUGGAAUUGUGUUGUUCUGUAUUAUUUAAAAUAACAUCACUGACUUCUAAAAUGUUUAAAGCUAUUCUGUGUACUGAAACUUGAUUCUUUGUAAGCAGGCGGAAAUAGAUAUAUUUUUAACUCUGUGGUUGAAACAUCCUUUAUCAUGAUCUUUGUUUGCUCCAAUGAUAUGUUUAGUAUCUCUAACUUUUCAUUCUCUCAUGACAUAUACAUUUGAACAUGAGGAAG